RNAcentral lists this ribosomal RNA (495 nucleotides) under uncultured bacterium. RNAcentral describes it as "partial 16S ribosomal RNA". It matches the Rfam family "Bacterial small subunit ribosomal RNA", at positions 28 to 507 of the family's 1533-position model. The record is from RNAcentral.
GACGAACGCUGGCGGCGUGCCUAAUACAUGCAAGUAGAACGCUGAAGGAGGAGCUUGCUUCUCUGGAUGAGUUGCGAACGGGUGAGUAACGCGUAGGUAACCUGCCUGGUAGCGGGGGAUAACUAUUGGAAACGAUAGCUAAUACCGCAUAAUAGCAGUUGUUGCAUGACAACUGUUUGAAAGGUGCAAUUUCACCACUACCAGAUGGACCUGCGUUGUAUUAGCUAGUUGGUGGGGUAACGGCUCACCAAGGCGACGAUACAUAGCCGACCUGAGAGGGGGAUCGGCCAAAAUUGGAAUGAGGAAAGGCCCAGACCCCUAAGGGAGGCAGCAGGAGGGAAUCUUCGGCAAUGGACGGAAGUCUGAACGAGCAACGCCGCGGGAGGGAAGAAGGUUUUCGGAUCGUAAAGCUCUGUUGUAAGAGAAGAACGAGUGUGAGAGUGGAAAGUUCACACUGUGACGGUACCUUACCAGAAAGGGACGGCUAACUACGUG